Molecule: ribosomal RNA, 245 nt
Filed under: uncultured bacterium
Lineage: Bacteria
Description: partial 16S ribosomal RNA
Rfam family: Bacterial small subunit ribosomal RNA
Source: RNAcentral
UACGUAAGGGGCGAGCGUUGUUCGGAUUGACUGGGUGUAAAGGGUCAGCAGGCGGUCCCGUAAGUCGGGCGUGAAAUCCCGGGGCUUAACCCCGGAACUGCGCUCGAUACUGCGGAACUUGAGUAUCGGAGAGGUUAGCGGAAUUCCUGGUGUAGCGGUGAAAUGCGUAGAUAUCAGGAGGAACACCGGUGGCGAAGGCGGCUAACUGGCCGAAUACUGACGCUCAGGGACGAAGGUGCGGGUAG